GCUGAUACCUUUUACAUGUUUUUUUCUUUUUUUAUUGCAGAGUGUUUCAACGUGCCACUUGUGAAUGGCUGAUGUGUUAUCCACAAUGAAGAAACAUCCCAGGCCUGUUUUAUCAGAUUACCUCCUGAGUGUGACGGCGCUGCUAACAUGUGAUUUGGCUCAGCUGUAAUCGGCAGAUGCACUAAUGUGGAAGUCUGCCUGGGAAAAGUCGCCGUGGUUCAUUCCGUCCCAUUUGAGCCUCUCUCUGUUUGAGAUCCAGGAGGCUGAGGUUAUCCAUCACACGUGCUCGUCUGGUCGGACCCGGAGCUCAUACGUCAACGCCAGACUCGGGGAGGGGUUCCCAUCUGUGCCCCUCUCUGCCGGCAUCUCAACGAUGACAAAUGUGCCACCUGCAGUGGAAAUAUUGAGAGUUACCAGGACAUUUAUCAGGUGAAUGAAAUGGCUUCGACUAGAAGAUCUUGCAAAAAUAAGCCUGACGUAUUCUGCUACAUCUGCGGUGAAUACACCAUUGGACCUAACAGGAAUCGAGUCCCAAGUUUCAUAAAGUGUGCUUACCAAUCUUAUUUUGGUAUUAAACUUGGUGACCAAGAUAAAGUUUGGG
Long non-coding RNA from Sphaeramia orbicularis (orbiculate cardinalfish), 601 nucleotides. RefSeq lists it as uncharacterized. Lineage: Eukaryota; Metazoa; Chordata; Actinopteri; Kurtiformes; Apogonidae. The record is from RefSeq and is a predicted model, not a curated record. The transcript is spliced from 3 exons.